GACGAACUUUGGCGGCGUGCUUAACACAUGCAAGUCGAACGGAAAGGCCCUGCUUUUGUGGGGUGCUCGAGUGGCGAACGGGUGAGUAACACGUGAGUAACCUGCCCUUGACUUUGGGAUAACUUCAGGAAACUGGGGCUAAUACCGGAUAGGAGCUCCUGCUGCAUGGUGGGGGUUGGAAAGUUUCGGCGGUUGGGGAUGGACUCGCGGCUUAUCAGCUUGUUGGUGGGGUAGUGGCUUACCAAGGCUUUGACGGGUAGCCGGCCUGAGAGGGUGACCGGCCACAUUGGGACUGAGAUACGGCCCAGACUCCUACGGGAGGCAGCAGUGGGGAAUAUUGCACAAUGGGCGGAAGCCUGAUGCAGCAACGCCGCGUGCGGGAUGACGGCCUUCGGGUUGUAAACCGCUUUCGCCUGUGACGAAGCGUGAGUGACGGUAAUGGGUAAAGAAGCACCGGCUAACUACGUGCCAGCAGCCGCGGUGAUACGUAGGGUGCGAGCGUUGUCCGGAUUUACUGGGCGUAAAGGGCUCGUAGGUGGUUGAUCGCGUCGGAAGUGUAAUCUUGGGGCUUAACCCUGAGCGUGCUUUCGAUACGGGUUGACUUGAGGAAGGUAGGGGAGAAUGGAAUUCCUGGUGGAGCGGUGGAAUGCGCAGAUAUCAGGAGGAACACCAGUGGCGAAGGCGGUUCUCUGGGCCUUUCCUGACGCUGAGGAGCGAAAGCGUGGGGAGCGAACAGGCUUAGAUACCCUGGUAGUCCACGCUGUAAACGGUGGGUACUAGGUGUGGGGUCCAUUCCACGGGUUCCGUGCCGUAGCUAACGCUUUAAGUACCCCGCCUGGGGAGUACGACCGCAAGGCUAAAACUCAAAGGAAUUGACGGGGCCCCGCACAAGCGGCGGAGCAUGCGGAUUAAUUCGAUGCAACGCGUAGAACCUUACCUGGGUUUGACAUGGAUCGGGAGUGCUCAGAGAUGGGUGUGCCUCUUUUGGGGUCGGUUCACAGGUGGUGCAUGCCUGUCGUCAGAUCGUGUCGUGAGAUGUUGGGUUAAGUCCCGCAACGAGCGCAACCCUUGUUCACUGUUGCCAGCACGUUAUGGUGGGGACUCAGUGGAGACCGCCGGGGUCAACUCGGAGGAAGGUGGGGAUGACGUCAAGUCAUCAUGCCCCUUAUGUCCAGGGCUUCACGCAUGCUACAAUGGCUGGUACAGAGAGUGGCGAGCCUGUGAGGGUGAGCGAAUCUCGGAAAGCCGGUCUCAGUUCGGAUUGGGGUCUGCAACUCGACCUCAUGAAGUCGGAGUCGCUAGUAAUCGCAAAUCAGCAACGCUGCGGUGAAUACGUUCCCGGGGCC
Molecule: ribosomal RNA, 1346 nt
Filed under: uncultured bacterium
Lineage: Bacteria
Description: partial 16S ribosomal RNA
Rfam family: Bacterial small subunit ribosomal RNA
Source: RNAcentral